RNAcentral lists this long non-coding RNA (427 nucleotides) under Homo sapiens (human). RNAcentral's name for it is "non-protein coding lnc-C17orf50-4:1". Lineage: Eukaryota; Metazoa; Chordata; Mammalia; Primates; Hominidae. The record is from RNAcentral.
UUUUUUUUUUUUUUUUUUUUUUUUGAGAUACGGUCUUGCUCGUCGCCCUGGCUGAAAUGCAGUGGCAUGAUCACAGCUCACUACAAACCUUGACUUCCUGGGCUCAAGUGAUCCUUGUACCUCAGCCUCCUGAGUAGCUCGGACUACAGGCAUGUGCCAUCGUGCCUGGCUAAUUUUUUAAUUUUUGUAGAGAUGGGGGUCUCUCUAUGUUGCCCAGACUGGUCUCAAACUCCUGGCCUCAAAUGAUCCUUCUACCUUGGCCUCCCAAAGUGCUGGGAUUACAGCCAUCAUGAGCCAUUGUGGCCAGCCCUCCUUUCAUUUUCUGCCCUUAAGGAAGAUGGAAAACACUAGCCAGUUAGUCUUUAUCCAGACCACAUCUUGUACUCUUUCUCUAAUGCCAAAUAACUAUACCGUAUGGACUCAUGGU